This 605-nucleotide unclassified non-coding RNA is filed under the name Malbranchea conjugata. RNAcentral describes it as "Auxarthron conjugatum sequence contains 18S rRNA gene, ITS1, 5.8S rRNA gene, ITS2, 28S rRNA gene". The stretch from base 247 to 400 matches the Rfam family "5.8S ribosomal RNA". Lineage: Eukaryota; Fungi; Ascomycota; Eurotiomycetes; Onygenales; Malbrancheaceae. The record is from RNAcentral.
UCGUAACAAGGUUUCCGUAGGUGAACCUGCGGAAGGAUCAUUACAGCGUUUCCGCCGCGGCGCCCCGGGCCCCCAAGCCCGGGCGACGUCGCGCGAGACCCCACCCGUGACUACCGGACCGUACGUUGCUUUGGCGGGCCCGCCGCAAGGCCGCCGGGGGCACCGCGCCCCGGGCCCGUGCCCGCCAGAGGUACACUGGAACUCUUUCUGUGAACUGGCCGUCUGAGGAGAAUUUUGAAUCGUUAAAACUUUCAACAAUGGAUCUCUUGGUUCCGGCAUCGAUGAAGAACGCAGCGAAAUGCGAUAAGUAAUGUGAAUUGCAGAAUUCCGUGAAUCAUCGAAUCUUUGAACGCACAUUGCGCCCCCUGGUAUUCCGGGGGGCAUGCCUGUCCGAGCGUCAUUGCAACCCUCAAGCGCGGCUUGUGUGUUGGGUCUCGUCCCCCCCGGACGGGCCCGAAAGGCAGUGGCGGCGUCCCGACACGGUGCCCGAGCGUAUGGGAACUCUCUUCCGCUCGAGCAGGCCCGGUCGGCGCUGGUCGAACCUCUCAUUUUUUACCGGUUGACCUCGGAUCAGGUAGGGAUACCCGCUGAACCUAAGCAUAUCA